GUGUCAGCAGCCGCGGUAAGACAGAGGUGGCAAGCGUUGUUCGGAAUUACUGGGCAUAAAGGGCGCGUAGGUGGUCAGGUAUGUCAAGGGUGAAAGCCCUCGGCCUAACCGGGGAAUUGCCUCUGAAACCACCUGACUAGAGUGCAGGAGAGGAGAGUGGAACUCGAGGUGGAGCGGUGAAAUGCGUAGAUAUCUCGGGGAACGCCGGUGGCGAAAGCGGCUCUCUGGACUGUAACUGACACUGAGGCGCGAAAGCCAGGGGAGCAAACGGGAUUAGAUACCCCGGUAGUCCUGGCCGUAAACGAUGAGAACUAGGUAGAGGGGGCUCCAAGGCCUCCCCUGCUGUAGCUAAUGUGCUAAGUUCUCCGCCUGGGGAGUACGGUCGCAAGGCUGAAACUUAAAGGAAUUGACGGGG
Molecule: ribosomal RNA, 415 nt
Filed under: uncultured prokaryote
Description: bacterial SSU rRNA
Rfam family: Bacterial small subunit ribosomal RNA
Source: RNAcentral